UGGGGAAUAUUGCGCAAUGGGCGAAAGCCUGACGCAGCGACGCCGCGUGAGGGAUGAAGGUUUUCGGAUCGUAAACCUCUGUCAGAAGGGAAGAAACUACAUUGUGCUAAUCAGCAGUGUACUGACGGUACCUUCAAAGGAAGCACCGGCUAACUCCGUGCCAGCAGCCGCGGUAAUACGGAGGGUGCAAGCGUUAAUCGGAAUUACUGGGCGUAAAGCGCACGUAGGCUGUAGUGUAAGUCAGGGGUGAAAUCCCACGGCUCAACCGUGGAACUGCCUUUGAUACUGCACAACUUGAAUCCGGGAGAGGGUGGCGGAAUUCCAGGUGUAGGAGUGAAAUCCGUAGAUAUCUGGAGGAACAUCAGUGGCGAAGGCGGCCACCUGGACCGGUAUUGACGCUGAGGUGCGAAAGCGUGGGGAGCAAACA
Molecule: ribosomal RNA, 427 nt
Filed under: uncultured bacterium
Lineage: Bacteria
Description: bacterial SSU rRNA
Rfam family: Bacterial small subunit ribosomal RNA
Source: RNAcentral